RNAcentral lists this ribosomal RNA (384 nucleotides) under Clostridioides difficile. Its description in RNAcentral is "bacterial LSU rRNA". It matches the Rfam family "Bacterial large subunit ribosomal RNA", at positions 310 to 700 of the family's 2925-position model. The record is from RNAcentral. Lineage: Bacteria; Bacillati; Bacillota; Clostridia; Peptostreptococcales; Peptostreptococcaceae.
AAAACAAGAGGUCUAGUAAGUAACGAGGUUGGGAAAGACCACCAAAAGAAGAUAAUAAGCCUAAAUGUUAAACGAAAAGACUUUAGGUAUGGUCACGAGAACCACGGAACACGUGAAACCCUGUGGGAAGCAGGAGGGACCACCCUCCAAGGCUAAAACUACCGAGGGAACGAUAGCGUAUAGAACCGUGCGGGAAAGGUGAAAAGAACCCCGGGAGGGGAGUGAAAUAGAUCCUGAGACCCUGCUCUUACAAGCUGUGGAAGAACAUUUCUUGGGGGAACGCGUACUUUUUGUAGAAGGGGCCAACGAGUUACGUUAAGUAGCAAGGUUAGGCACUUAAGGUGCGGAGCCGUAGCGAAAGCGAGUUUUAACUGAGCGUUCAGU